GGUCAGUUCUCAUCAUACACCAAAGAAUACACACAGGAGAGAAGCCCCAUGUUUGUGGGGAGUGUGGGCGAGGCUUCAGUCGUAGGUCACAUCUCAUCAUACACCAAAGGAUACACACAGGAGAGAAGCCCCAUGUUUGUAGGGAAUGUGGGCGAGGCUUUAGUCAUAGGUCAAGUCUCAUCAAACACCAAAGGAUACACACAGGAGAGAAGCCCUAUGCUUGUGGGGCAUGUGGUCGAGGCUUCAGAGAUAGGUCAAGUCUCAUCAAACACCAGAGGACACAUUCAGGGGAGAAGCCCCAUGUUUGUAGGGAAUGUGGGCGAGGUUUUAGUCAGAGGUCAACUCUUAUCACACACCAGAGGACACAUACAGGAGAGAAGCCCCAUGUUUGUAGGGAAUGUGGGCAAGGCUUCAGUCAGAGGUCACAUCUCAUCAGACACCAAAGGAUACACACAGGAGAGAAGCCCCAUGUUUGUGGGGAGUGUGGGCGAGACUUCAGGGAUAGGUCAAGUCUCAUCACACACCAAAGGAUACACACAGGAGAGAAGCCCCAUGUUUGUGGGGAGU
Suncus etruscus (white-toothed pygmy shrew) is the source of this 567-nucleotide long non-coding RNA. RefSeq lists it as uncharacterized. The record is from RefSeq and is a predicted model, not a curated record. Lineage: Eukaryota; Metazoa; Chordata; Mammalia; Eulipotyphla; Soricidae. The transcript has 4 exons.